RNAcentral lists this small RNA (52 nucleotides) under Euglena gracilis. Its description in RNAcentral is "Eg-m-Orphan2 box C/D-like small RNA". The record is from RNAcentral. Lineage: Eukaryota; Euglenozoa; Euglenophyceae; Euglenales; Euglenaceae.
UCUUGAUGAUGAUGGCGACGAUGAUAAUGAUGAUGAUGUUGAUGCUGAUGAU